RNAcentral lists this ribosomal RNA (908 nucleotides) under Pseudokineococcus lusitanus. Its description in RNAcentral is "bacterial SSU rRNA". It matches the Rfam family "Bacterial small subunit ribosomal RNA", at positions 98 to 1018 of the family's 1533-position model. Lineage: Bacteria; Bacillati; Actinomycetota; Actinomycetes; Kineosporiales; Kineosporiaceae. The record is from RNAcentral.
GCGAACGGGUGAGUAACACGUGAGCAACCUGCCCUCGACUCCGGGAUAACCACCGGAAACGGUGGCUAAUACUGGAUAUGACCUCUUGCCGCAUGGUGGGGGGUGGAAAGUUUUUCGGUCGGGGAUGGGCUCGCGGCCUAUCAGCUUGUUGGUGGGGUGAUGGCCUACCAAGGCGACGACGGGUAGCCGGCCUGAGAGGGUGACCGGCCACACUGGGACUGAGACACGGCCCAGACUCCUACGGGAGGCAGCAGUGGGGAAUAUUGCGCAAUGGGCGGAAGCCUGACGCAGCGACGCCGCGUGAGGGAUGAAGGCCUUCGGGUUGUAAACCUCUUUCAGCUCCGAAGAAGCGAGAGUGACGGUAGGAGCAGAAGAAGCACCGGCUAACUACGUGCCAGCAGCCGCGGUAAUACGUAGGGUGCAAGCGUUGUCCGGAAUUAUUGGGCGUAAAGAGCUCGUAGGCGGCUCGUCGCGUCUGCUGUGAAAGCCCGGGGCUUAACCCCGGGUCUGCAGUGGGUACGGGCGGGCUAGAGUGCGGUAGGGGAGACUGGAAUUCCUGGUGUAGCGGUGAAAUGCGCAGAUAUCAGGAGGAACACCGGUGGCGAAGGCGGGUCUCUGGGCCGUAACUGACGCUGAGGAGCGAAAGCAUGGGUAGCGAACAGGAUUAGAUACCCUGGUAGUCCAUGCCGUAAACGUUGGGCGCUAGGUGUGGGCCGCAUUCCACGUGGUCCGUGCCGCAGCUAACGCAUUAAGCGCCCCGCCUGGGGAGUACGGCCGCAAGGCUAAAACUCAAAGGAAUUGACGGGGCCCCGCACAAGCGGCGGAGCAUGCGGAUUAAUUCGAUGCAACGCGAAGAACCUUACCAAGGCUUGACAUGCAGGGAAAUCCUCCAGAGAUGGUGGGUCCGC